Molecule: ribosomal RNA, 487 nt
Filed under: uncultured Turicibacter sp.
Lineage: Bacteria; Bacillati; Bacillota; Erysipelotrichia; Erysipelotrichales; Turicibacteraceae
Description: partial 16S ribosomal RNA
Source: RNAcentral
CACGUAGUUAGCCGUGGCUUUCUCAUAAGGUACCGUCAAUUGAUAGUCAUUUCCUCCUAUCACCUUUCUUCCCUUAUAACAGAAUUUUACAACCCGAGGGCCUUCUUCAUUCACGCGGCGUUGCUCGGUCAGGCUUUCGCCCAUUGCCGAAGAUUCCCUAUUGCUGCCUCCCGUAGGAGUCUGGGCCGUGUCUCAGUCCCAGUGUGGCCGUUCACCCUCUCAGGUCGGCUACGCAUCGUCGCCUUGGUAGGCCUUUACCCCACCAACUAGCUAAUGCGCCGCAGGCUCAUCCAUCAGUGAUGCCAGGAGCAUCUUUAAACUUUCGUCCUAUCCGGUAUUAGCGAUCGUUUCCAAUCGUUGUCCCCGUCUGAUGGGCAGAUUACCUACGUGUUACUCACCCGUUCGCCGCUUCCCACCGAAGUGGUUCGCUCGACUUGCAUGUAUUAGGCACGCCGCCAGCGUUCAUCCUGAGCCAGGAUCAAACUCU